RNAcentral lists this ribosomal RNA (1107 nucleotides) under Salmonella enterica. RNAcentral describes it as "bacterial SSU rRNA". It matches the Rfam family "Bacterial small subunit ribosomal RNA", at positions 1 to 1101 of the family's 1533-position model. The record is from RNAcentral. Lineage: Bacteria; Pseudomonadati; Pseudomonadota; Gammaproteobacteria; Enterobacterales; Enterobacteriaceae.
UGAAGAGUUUGAUCAUGGCUCAGAUUGAACGCUGGCGGCAGGCCUAACACAUGCAAGUCGAACGGUAACAGGAAGCAGCUUGCUGCUUCGCUGACGAGUGGCGGACGGGUGAGUAAUGUCUGGGAAACUGCCUGAUGGAGGGGGAUAACUACUGGAAACGGUGGCUAAUACCGCAUAACGUCGCAAGACCAAAGAGGGGGACCUUCGGGCCUCUUGCCAUCAGAUGUGCCCAGAUGGGAUUAGCUUGUUGGUGAGGUAACGGCUCACCAAGGCGACGAUCCCUAGCUGGUCUGAGAGGAUGACCAGCCACACUGGAACUGAGACACGGUCCAGACUCCUACGGGAGGCAGCAGUGGGGAAUAUUGCACAAUGGGCGCAAGCCUGAUGCAGCCAUGCCGCGUGUAUGAAGAAGGCCUUCGGGUUGUAAAGUACUUUCAGCGGGGAGGAAGGUGUUGUGGUUAAUAACCGCAGCAAUUGACGUUACCCGCAGAAGAAGCACCGGCUAACUCCGUGCCAGCAGCCGCGGUAAUACGGAGGGUGCAAGCGUUAAUCGGAAUUACUGGGCGUAAAGCGCACGCAGGCGGUCUGUCAAGUCGGAUGUGAAAUCCCCGGGCUCAACCUGGGAACUGCAUUCGAAACUGGCAGGCUUGAGUCUUGUAGAGGGGGGUAGAAUUCCAGGUGUAGCGGUGAAAUGCGUAGAGAUCUGGAGGAAUACCGGUGGCGAAGGCGGCCCCCUGGACAAAGACUGACGCUCAGGUGCGAAAGCGUGGGGAGCAAACAGGAUUAGAUACCCUGGUAGUCCACGCCGUAAACGAUGUCUACUUGGAGGUUGUGCCCUUGAGGCGUGGCUUCCGGAGCUAACGCGUUAAGUAGACCGCCUGGGGAGUACGGCCGCAAGGUUAAAACUCAAAUGAAUUGACGGGGGCCCGCACAAGCGGUGGAGCAUGUGGUUUAAUUCGAUGCAACGCGAAGAACCUUACCUGGUCUUGACAUCCACAGAAGAAUCCAGAGAUGGAUUUGUGCCUUCGGGAACUGUGAGACAGGUGCUGCAUGGCUGUCGUCAGCUCGUGUUGUGAAAUGUUGGGUUAAGUCCCGCAACGAGCGCAA